Molecule: ribosomal RNA, 252 nt
Filed under: uncultured bacterium
Lineage: Bacteria
Description: partial 16S ribosomal RNA
Rfam family: Bacterial small subunit ribosomal RNA
Source: RNAcentral
UACGGAGGAUGCGAGCGUUAUCCGGAUUUAUUGGGUUUAAAGGGUGCGUAGGCGGGCUUUUAAGUCAGCGGUAAAAAUUCGGGGCUCAACCCCGUCCGGCCGUUGAAACUGGGGGUCUUGAGUGGGCGAGAAGAAGGCGGAAUGCGUGGAGUAGCGGUGAAAUGCAUAGAUAUCACGCAGAACCCCGAUUGCGAAGGCAGCCUUCCGGCGCCCUACUGACGCUGAGGCACGAAAGUGCGGGGAUCGAACAGG